CGUAGGUGGCAAGCGUUGUCCGGAUUUAUGGGUUUAAAGGGUGCGUAGGCGGCCCUGUAAGUCAGUGGUGAAAUAUCUCAGCUUAACUGAGAGGGUGCCAUUGAUACUGCGGGGCUUGAGUACAGAUGAGGUAGGCGGAAUUGACGGUGUAGCGGUGAAAUGCAUAGAUAUCGUCAAGAACACCGAUAGCGAAGGCAGCUUACCAAGCUGUAACUGACGCUGAGGCACGAAAGUGUGGGGAUCAAACAGGAUUAGAUACCCUGGUAGUCCACACUGUAAACGUUGAUGACUCGAUGUUGGCGAUACACAGCCAGCGUCCAAGAGCAAUCGUUAAGUCAUCCACCUGGGGAGUACGCCGGCAACGGUG
Molecule: ribosomal RNA, 367 nt
Filed under: uncultured organism
Description: bacterial SSU rRNA
Rfam family: Bacterial small subunit ribosomal RNA
Source: RNAcentral